Molecule: ribosomal RNA, 657 nt
Filed under: uncultured Roseovarius sp.
Lineage: Bacteria; Pseudomonadati; Pseudomonadota; Alphaproteobacteria; Rhodobacterales; Roseobacteraceae
Description: bacterial SSU rRNA
Rfam family: Bacterial small subunit ribosomal RNA
Source: RNAcentral
GACGGGUUAGUAACGCGUGGGAACGUACCCAGAUCUAAGGAAUAGCCACUGGAAACGGUGAGUAAUACCUUAUACGCCCUUCGGGGGAAAGAUUUAUCGGAUUUGGAUCGGCCCGCGUUAGAUUAGGUAGUUGGUGGGGUAAUGGCCUACCAAGCCUACGAUCUAUAGCUGGUUUUAGAGGAUGAUCAGCAACACUGGGACUGAGACACGGCCCAGUCUCCUACGGGAGGCAGCAGUGGGGAAUCUUAGACAAUGGGCGCAAGCCUGAUCUAGCCAUGCCGCGUGAGUGAUGAAGGCCUUAGGGUCGUAAAGCUCUUUCGCCUGUGAUGAUAAUGACAGUAGCAGGUAAAGAAACCCCGGCUAACUCCGUGCCAGCAGCUGCGGUAAUACGGAGGGGGUUAGCGUUGUUCGGAAUUACUGGGCGUAAAGCGCACGUAGGCGGAUUAGAAAGUUAGGGGUGAAAUCCCGGGGCUCAACCUCGGAACUGCCUCUAAAACUCCUAGUCUAGAGUUCGAGAGAGGUGAGUGGAAUUCCAAGUGUAGAGGUGAAAUUCGUAGAUAUUUGGAGGAACACCAGUGGCGAAGGCGGCUCACUGGCUCGAUACUGACGCUGAGGUGCGAAAGUGUGGGGAGCAAACAGGAUUAGAUACCCUGGUAG